Molecule: long non-coding RNA, 689 nt
Filed under: Manihot esculenta (cassava)
Lineage: Eukaryota; Viridiplantae; Streptophyta; Magnoliopsida; Malpighiales; Euphorbiaceae
Description: long non-coding RNA (MESC_LNC002378)
Source: RNAcentral
GCAUUAGUAUCCACGAAUAUGUUGCAUUGCAUAGUUAAUUGUUGGUGUGAGUAAAUACUGAAUGAUCCAAUAGUCUCUGAGCUAAGACCAGGAGCCUUUGACUACGCCCUGGCAGGUAUAGUAAAGACCAGGAGCCUUUGACUACGCCCUGGCAAUGGUAAGUACAGAGGUGUUAUACACAUAUACAUAUAUGACAGGAAGACCAGGUGCUCGAUUCUACGCCCUGGCACGGAAGUUACUGAGGCUAUGUGGUGACAGGUUUACUCUUGAUGUGGCUUGUCUGUGUUAUGAUGCAUUCCAUGAGACCAUAUGUUAUGACUGAUUUUAUUAUUCUACUCACUGGGCUAUAGAGCUCAUCCCACUCCCUUAAUCCCAAGUCUUGCAGGAUUCAGUAUACAGUGUACAGAGGGAAAGUCCAGAAGAGUUCAGAAAGAGAAACUGAGACUUGUAAUAGUUAGAGUGGACAUGUAUUUAUAAAGAGCUGUAUCAGUUGUAUAUUCAGUUAGAAUUGUGCUUGACUUAGUAAUGUUAGUGUUGUAAAUCUUUGGUUUAUGUACAUGAUCUGUAUAUGUAUAUGUUUUACAGAGUAUGUGAAAAACCAGGCUUAACAGGUAUGAAAUAACCUAUCUAGAGCAAGCUCUAGUCAGGGGUACAGAGUACUGAGUACAGAGAUAGUGCAUGCACAGGUU